RNAcentral lists this ribosomal RNA (280 nucleotides) under uncultured Staphylococcus sp. Its description in RNAcentral is "partial 16S ribosomal RNA". It matches the Rfam family "Bacterial small subunit ribosomal RNA", at positions 83 to 354 of the family's 1533-position model. The record is from RNAcentral. Lineage: Bacteria; Bacillati; Bacillota; Bacilli; Caryophanales; Staphylococcaceae.
CCUUUGACGUUAGCGGCGGACGGGUGAGUAACACGUGGGUAACCUACCUAUAAGACUGGGAUAACUUCGGGAAACCGGAGCUAAUACCGGAUAAUAUUUCGAACCGCAUGGUUCGAUAGUGAAAGGUGGUUUUGCUAUCACUUAUAGAUGGACCCGCGCCGUAUUAGCUAGUUGGUAAGGUAACGGCUUACCAAGGCGACGAUACGUAGCCGACCUGAGAGGGUGAUCGGCCACACUGGGAACUGAGACACGGUCCAGACUCCUACGGGAGGCAGCAGGC